AUUUGACAUAUACUUGACAAGCUCAUCAUCUUUUGUUGCCCUUACAAUGACAGAGAGCUGCUGGCUAUUCACUGUAGUCUUUUGUUGGACCAUGGCCCUAGCAUUUGUAUGUUUUCUUAGUUCAUGGGGCAGAUCAUCAUAUGGCUUAUUGAUGUAACUUUUGGCUUUUAACUUGUCUUGAUGCUUUAUGCUCUGUGUUGCUUGGGUUAGAAGAACCAUAUCCUUGACUAUCUUGGAAUUCUGCUGCUGUUUUGAACUCUUUUUUACGCCUAAACUGCUGAAUCCCAUUUUGUUAGAAGGUUCUGAGUAUGUUAAUACUUUGUCAUAACCCGGAUAACAAUCUAACUAUUUGCAAGUUUCACGGACAUAUUUUGCCAGUAGAAAACCGAGGAAACGUAGGCUCAUGAAGGGGACAUGGAAACAGAAAAUCACUGAUCUCGAUAAAGAUCCGAUACAUGAAACGGUGAGUGGUGAAAUCUCGAAGCAGACGUAGACUAGAAGCAAAGAAAAGAAUUACCACUACAGAAAUCAAGAACAUUCAUAUUUGCAACACAAUAAUCAAUCUUUUGGUAACACGAAAAGAAAAGAAGCAAAACGAAGCCAUCUGAGAGUGGAGAUUGAAGACUGAA
Molecule: unclassified non-coding RNA, 629 nt
Filed under: Hevea brasiliensis (rubber tree)
Lineage: Eukaryota; Viridiplantae; Streptophyta; Magnoliopsida; Malpighiales; Euphorbiaceae
Source: RNAcentral